RNAcentral lists this long non-coding RNA (542 nucleotides) under Oreochromis niloticus (Nile tilapia). Its description in RNAcentral is "lncRNA (ENSONIG00000023558.2)". Lineage: Eukaryota; Metazoa; Chordata; Actinopteri; Cichliformes; Cichlidae. The record is from RNAcentral.
GUGGUGAUCCUCAGAGGAGCGAUGAAGUAGAGCAGCCAGCACCCCGAGUAGAGCAGGCACUGUGGAAAAAUAGUUGUGACUCAACCAGACCAUUACAAAGUAUGGCCUGGAGGAUUUUCAUUUCAAGGUGCAAGAACAUUCUUAAUGACUGUACACGGCGGCUGCUGAUGGACGAUGUUGGGCCAGAUGUGCUACAGUUAGCGUUAAGGAGGUUGGAGACAAUGCAGAGAAGCCUUCGGUGGGCAAGAGGAAGACUGAUCAAUGUAACUGCGGCAGAUCAACUUCUGCGUGACUUGGCUGAAUUGAUUCAGGAGGUCGAACUGUCUACUCAGCAUGGCCAACAAGGCUGUUUUGGAUACCAGGCACCAGUGGUUUUCAACAGAGGUAGAGGUAGAUCCUUUUUCCUUAUCACUCGGGAGCAGCUUUCAUUCCUGAAGUCAUGUGGAUUCACUGCACCUCAGAUGGCUGGUAUUUUGAAUGUUUCACUUCGUACAAUUCGAAGACGUCUGCAGUCAGUGACUUUCAUUUCUUUGUGACACACA